RNAcentral lists this ribosomal RNA (389 nucleotides) under uncultured bacterium. RNAcentral's name for it is "bacterial SSU rRNA". It matches the Rfam family "Bacterial small subunit ribosomal RNA", at positions 102 to 525 of the family's 1533-position model. The record is from RNAcentral.
ACGGGUGAGUAACGCGUAGAACUUACCCUGAAGUGGGGGACAACCUCGAGAAAUCGGGGCUAAUACCGCAUACGCUCCGCAAGGAGGAAAGCUUCGGCGCUUUAGGAUGGGCUUGCGCCCGAUUAGCUAGUUGGUGAGGUAAUGGCCCACCAAGGCUCAGAUCGGUAGCUGGUCUGAGAGGAUGAUCAGCCACACUGGAAUUGAGAUACGGUCCAGACUCCUACGGGAGGCAGCAGCAGGGAAUAUUGCGCAAUGGGUGAAAGCCUGACGCAGCAACGCCGCGUGGGGGAUGACGGCUUUCGAGUUGUAAACCCCUUUUCUUGGGGAAGAUAAUGACGGUACCCGAGGAAUAAGUCUCGGCUAACUACGUGCCAGCAGCCGCGGUAAUA